AGCAGUUUCUGCUUGGCUUUUCUCCAAGAACUACGGCCUGAAAAACCGCCGUUGUAAACUUCAACUACAGAAAC
This 74-nucleotide transfer RNA is filed under the name Columba junoniae (white-tailed laurel pigeon). RNAcentral's name for it is "partial transfer RNA-Glu". The record is from RNAcentral. Lineage: Eukaryota; Metazoa; Chordata; Aves; Columbiformes; Columbidae.